GACUGAUAAGGUUUGAAGACUGAACUCUCUCUACAUGGCCUUUCAAUCAGCUUCUUACAUCAAGGUUGUGGCUGACAGACAUCUCUCUGAAGUAUCAAAAGCCCACCUGUAUUUAUUGGAAACACCUGGUAAUCCUGCCUUACCCAAGGAACAAUGGGAAGCACAAAAGUAAGGGCCUGUCAGUUGUUGGAUUCUCAGUCAGUCACAUGGUGAAAAGCUGUCAUAGGAACGAACAUGCUGAUUCAGAUCAAGGUAUUCUGUGGCCCACUGCUUGGACUCCAAUAUUGGCUAGAAGUGGAUGAAUGCCAAGAAAAAAAGUAAAAAUAGGGGUUCACAGUGAUUUGUGUAAAUACAAGCCAUGACUUAGGAUCUUAUCAGUAAAAUCCACCUUUGUAGAAGACAGGAGUAACAAGAAUCCAAGA
RNAcentral lists this long non-coding RNA (422 nucleotides) under Calidris pugnax (ruff). RNAcentral describes it as "lncRNA (ENSCPUG00000010328.1)". The record is from RNAcentral. Lineage: Eukaryota; Metazoa; Chordata; Aves; Charadriiformes; Scolopacidae.